GUUCUCGCUUCGGCGGUACAGACACAAAAAUUGGAACUAUAGAGAGGAGACUAGCAUGGCUCCCGCGCAAGGAUGACAGAGAAUAGAAGGUGAAGGAGUUGAU
Schistocerca gregaria is the source of this 103-nucleotide small nuclear RNA. The record is from RefSeq and is a predicted model, not a curated record. NCBI's taxonomy places the organism in Eukaryota, Metazoa, Arthropoda, Insecta, Orthoptera, Acrididae.